GCUUCGAUAAACCUGGCAUCACAUCUGCACUAAAAUUCAUACACCAGAUUACUCAUCUGGAUGAUAAGCAGGAUAUAUUUUUACUUGAACAUUCCAUUUGUUGUGUGCAUAAUUUGUGUUGAUACUGAGCAACUAAAUUAAACAGCUAGUUUCACCUGUAGUCCACAUGGGUGACAUACCUUCCGCUUCUAAAAUAAUCUCAAGUAAUCUGGGCAUGUUUCAUGACUAAAUGUGAGAUUGUCUUGGAGCUGUUUGAGUUUGUGUGGUCAUGUAAUAAGACAUUCUCUGAAUAGGGCAUUCGUGCUAUCCUGAAACAUGGCCUUGAUGUGCCCGACUUAAUGCUUAUGUAAUGAACAAAUAUUGUGCCCUCCUAUUUACGAAGUUGGUGAACCUUGGGAAUCUCAAAGUAUAUACUAACCGGCAAAGCUAAGUUUGUGACACAGUGGAAGAGAGCCCAGUAGCUAAUUUCUCAACCAGGACAUUGAGAAAAGAGAGAUAAUUUGACUAUCCUUUCAAAUGUGUGGAGUCCCUUUUAUGAAGUUUAAACUAAGUCUGGCAGAUAAUCACUAAUCAUUGUUAACCAGUGUGUUCCACAUGGCAUUGUUUCCAAGUUCAUUUGCCAAACAAUCAGCCCUCUCUUAUCAUGCAUUAUAAAGUGUAGUUUUCCUCUUGAAUUGCUAGCUGAAACUUAACAAAAUGUCUUGUCUUUGUCAGUAUAACUAACUUUCAUUUAUGAUAGCUAAAACAAAGCCUUCCUUUCAGGUAUUGAAUUUGAUUUGCAACUGUCGAGAACAGGAAGGCAUGAGCAUUGACUACAUGAGGAAAACACUGAAGAAUAUGAACAUCGUUGCAAUCAAGCAAGCAGUAGAAUUUCUGAGCAAUGAAGGGCACAUCUAUUCUACAGUGGAUGAGGAUCAUUUCAGGUCAACAGAUGCUGAAUAAUUGAGUAAUAAAAUGAUGUGAAACUAAAAUUCUGAAUCAUUCUACAACCUGCAGAAUCCAUCAUCCUGUAGUAAAAUGUAAAAUACCAAUUUUAACAUAAAGUCUCUUGUGGGACGUGGGCAACACUGGCUGAACCGACCAAUCUCUAUUGCUCUUGAGAAGAUGGUGGUGAGCUGCUGCCUUGAGCUACUGUGGUCCACAUGCUGCAGGUAGAUUAACAAUUAUAUCUGGGAGGGAAUUCCAAGAUUUUGACCCAGUGACAGUGAAGAAACAGCAAUAAAUUUACAAGUCUGGCUUGGAGAGGUGGUGCUCUCAUGUAUCUGCUGACCCUUGUCCUUCUAGGUCAAAUUGGUCAUGAGUUAAAGGUGCUGUCUGAGGAUCUUUUUGGGUGAAUAUCGAGUGCGCAUCUCAUAGAUCAUAGUGUUAGAGGGAGUUAAUGUUUCUGGAUGUGCCAUUCAAGUGGACUGCUUUGUCCUGGAUGGUGUCAAACGUCUUGAGCAUUGAUGGGGUUGCAUGCAUCUAGGCUAUUGAGGAAUAUCCAUCAUGCUCCUGACUUGUGCCUUGUAAUGGUGGCCAAGCUUUGGGGAGAUUAAUUACUCACUAGUAUAUUCUUAGACUCUGACCUGCUUUUUUAAACCCAUCACCUUUCUUUGCAAAUCCCUCCUCUCUGGCAUCAGUGUAACGGAUCUCCUGAGCUGUGUCCAAUCAAUUAUGUCCUCAUGCAAGUAAGGGACCUAAAAUUGGAUACAAUACUCAAUUUUAAACUAAUCUGACAGCAGUGAAUGAUCUAAGAACAUCAGGGAAAUAUCAGGAUGAAUAGAAUAAUUAGAUAGUUGGUACUUGUAUAAAAGAGUAGGAAAUCAAUAGUUGAAAUCUGAGUAAGGAAGAAAGUAAUGAAGACUAAGUCAGUUAAUGUGCAUGUAUGUGGAUGCAUAAGGAAUAGUAAGAAAGUUUGGGGAUUUACAGGUGCAAAUUGCCAUGUGGAAACAAGACAUCAUAACAAGACUUGGUUUAAGGAAAGGCAGGACUGGGUGUUAAAUAUUCUUAGGUACAUGAUCUCCAGAAAAGAAGGGGUGGUAGUAUUAGUUAGGAAGAGUGUUGCUGUACUGGAGAAUGGUUUUGCUCAAUGUACUAUAUAGGUAAACCAGUUAGUUUGAAGGAUCUUUAGGGGGGAAAAAAUGAUUUGAAAUUCAAGAGAUGCUAACAUUCCUGAGUACUUACAAGGGGGGAUGUUAACUACAAGAAUGUAGACUGCAACAAUAGCAGUGUAAAUGGUAGAUUGGAAUAACAUUCCUAGAUAUUGCUGUAGGAACUUUUCCUGAACAUUAUGUUGAGUUAUAGAGUCAUAGAGAUGUACAGCAUGGAA
This is a non-coding RNA of Chiloscyllium plagiosum (whitespotted bambooshark), 2308 nucleotides long. The record is from RefSeq and is a predicted model, not a curated record. NCBI's taxonomy places the organism in Eukaryota, Metazoa, Chordata, Chondrichthyes, Orectolobiformes, Hemiscylliidae.